This 4768-nucleotide long non-coding RNA is filed under the name Physcomitrium patens. RNAcentral describes it as "long non-coding RNA (PPAT_LNC002438)". The record is from RNAcentral. Lineage: Eukaryota; Viridiplantae; Streptophyta; Bryopsida; Funariales; Funariaceae.
AAACUAGACUAGAAGCAAGAAAGGAGUUGACAAGAGUGAAGAGGGCUUCACUCUUGCCUCUAUAUAUACUAUCUAACUAGAAGCCACGUGGCGAUGUUCUAUAAGACCUCCAAUAUAUAUUGACUUUCUAGGCCACAUGCCUUUGCUUGCAAGGCAAGUUUUCUAUGGAUGGACCACGUAGUUAGCUUGUUCUUUAAGCUUCCAACAUGCGUGGCACAUGGCUAACUUGUUGACCAAGUUUCUAACGUAAAAGUCAACUAUAGACUCCUAUAAAGUCAAAGCAGCGUCUAUGAAGCUUCUAAGAAGCUUCUCUAGAAGAUAUUACACAAUUAACCUACUUUUACAUACUUUUAUCUAUUCAUAUAGGUAAUUAUAUGUAUGUCCGUGACAUUUAUAUCUCGUCUCUAUAGUGACUUCUAGUGCUUGAAAAGAUUCAAGUAUGGUAUAAACCUCUCUUGAAUGAAUCUCAACAAUCUUAUCAUUAUCCCCUAAUCCAAUAGAUGUAAUCAAUUCCAAUGAAUCUUCCAACCCAUUUUCUUCAUAAACACCUAAAAUCCUCUCAUCAUCUUGCAAUGUACCUAACUUGCGUAAUUGUCCUUCAAUAUCAUAUAAUCUUUUUCUUUCUUUUCUUUUAAAAUCAUCAACUUUCAUAUACAUAAUAUUUCUAUUUUCCAAUAUACCAAUAAAACUCGAAUCAAAGGCACCUUCAUCUUACGAGAGUACCUCCUCCUUUGUACCUCCAUAAUCUCGUUUUACAGUGGUACCUCCCCAAAAUCCUUAAAUCCUUCAACAAUCUUUGGCAAUGGUUUCUCCCUCAACCUAUCUCGAUUUCGUUCAUGGUUAGGAGGUACUGUUAGAAAUUGUACAGCUUUCCUCCCAUCUUCGCUACGUACCCUUGCAUAAGUAGAACCAUCGUCAAAUACUUUUGUUUCCAUCUGUGUUGUCAUAAUAUAAGGUUGUCCUAAAAUCAACGGAUAAGACGUUGUAUCUUGAACAAAGAAAUGUUGCUCCGUCACAACAUCCCCAAUCCGAAUUUUGACAUCUGGACAAGCUCCAUAUAAUUCGCCCUGUGUGUUAUUAGCUGCUCGAAUUGCCCAUCCAUGUUCCAUAUCAAUUGACUAUUUUUGUUUCUUAUAAAGAUCUUUAGACAUGAGAUUUAUUUCAGAACCAUGGUCGACUAAAGCAACAAUUGGUUCUUCUAUAUGUCAUAUUUUCACCAAUACCUCAGUAGUUGCCCUUGCCAAAUGCUUUCGAGUAUAAUGGCUCAAAGUUUCCAUUUCAUUGUCACUAGAAUCUUUGAAAUGUACUCGUUGAUUAUACCCAUUCUUUUCAUUUGUUGGUUGCUUGUAACCAAUAUCAACCUCUUCUUCAUCUCCAUAUAUUCUUGCAUCAAUAGCAUAACUCAUUCCAGUUUCGCCCAUUAAUUGCCUCUUUCGCUUAAUGCUGUCAAUGAUGACGUCAUGAAAUUCCUUCUUUGCAAUUUCCAAGAUUUCUUUCAAUGUGAAUUCCACCUUAGCAUUUAAUAUAUGUUCUUCCUACACCCCUUUCAAAUUUGUUGCCGCUUCAAUGUCAGAAAGUAGCUUAUAAGCAAUUGAUUUGUCCUUAUCUUUUGUCUCUUUUAUUUUUUCUGCCAAUGAUGCUGAGAUAUCCUUUACAGGCAAUUCUUGUGAAGCUGCCUCCCAAGCCUUGUCUCCUCGAGUUUGCCUCUUAGAAGAAUUUCCUUUUCUAGUAUCAUCAAAAUUUCCUUGUCUCUUUUCUUCCAUCAAAGCUUCAUGUUGGCUCUUAGCAAUAUAUGCAUGAACUGAAAGAGACUCAACAAGAUCCUCCCAACCUAUUCUACCUCGUAUUGUAGCUGCAGUUCUUAAUAACGCUUCUCGAGGUAAUUUCCCUUCUUGCAUUGUAGAAACGUCAGAAGCCCAAAACUCACUAGUUUCCGUACUUCCACCAAUUUCAUCAUCUACUCUGGCACCAUAACUUGUACUUUCUCGUGCUGCUGUUUCAUGCUCUUUUAGGUAAUCUUGAACCAAUGCUCUCAUUCCUCUCUUACCAAAAUUGGUUUCAAGAAGAUCCUCUCUGUUUUUCAAUGCUAUCUUCCCAUCUUUCGAGCAAAUAAUUCCCUGCCGUAUCAUAUUAUUAAAUUCAUUGCAAUCUUUUCUAGUGUGUGAAGCAUCAUUACACCAAAUACAUCUUUGUACAUAUCCUUAUUUUGAAACAUUCUUCGAAUUGUUUGUAGAAGUAUUCUCUUCAAGUCUUGCCAAUUUGAUUUGAAGAUCUCGCAUUCCUCAUAUAAUUUCUUCCAUUACCAUAUCUGCUUUCUUUGAUAAGGAUGUCGAAGGUUGAAUUGUAGGCAUUGUUGGUGGUGUUGUAUGCACUGGAGCUUUGGAUGCUUGUACUGUUUUUGGAAUAUUGCUCCUAUCCUUCCUCCUUUCUUUUUUUGUAAGUAACCCCACCGCAUCUUCAACGUUCUUCUACUUCGUUGUCAAUCCUUCAUCUUCUUCUGUGUCUUCAAGAAGGAGUUCUAAUUUCCCUUGCAAUUCUCCAUCAGCAGCUUGAAGAAAUAGAUCAACUUUAUUCGACUCCAAUGUCAUUUUUUCUACCUUUGACAAUUGAGAGUACUGCCUCUCAAAUUCUCUUAGUAGCUCUGUUGCUUGGAAAUUCUUAUUGGACCGUUCAAUCCAUUCCAGAAACAGCUUCUUAGUAACAUGAUCAGCAUCUUCUAAGAAAUAUUCGUCUUUCAAUGCAUGUGAAAAAAUCUCCCAUGAAUUCCCAUAAUGAUCCGUAAUCAAUGUAAUGUGGUCUCUUAUCUCCGGUAUCAUCGCAAGUCCAAAUAGUUCAACCAUUUUCUUCUCAAAAACCCGAUUUAAUUCCAUUUCACGAACAUAACAUCUUAAAUACCUUGAAAUAUUUCUGCCAUCAAAUUGAUCAAUUUUACUGAUCACUGCUUGCAAUGCUUUGGUUGCCAAAGCUUCCUUUCGAUCAUUGCUUUGCUGUUGAUGCAUUGAUAAUGAGAAGGCUUCAAACAUAUUAGUAAUAGAUGGAUCCAUGUGCAUACCUUAUGCUUUAGAAGAAUCCUCACCAAAAACUCCUCCCAAAAAUCCUUCAAAAUUUUAAUUUUCGUUUUCCAUAAAAUAAAGAUAAAAUCAAACGAAAUCCAAUACCUUCCACCUCAAUCUUUCACGUCAGGUUCACCACUUUUGUCGUAUUACGUGCUUUCCUACUCGAGAACGCGUCGGGCGUCUGGCUGUAAAAGGUAGUAUGGAGAUUCGCCAAUAGUCAAGCAGUCUAUCAGUUUUUGACUGUUGGAAUAUAAACGACUACAAGAAUACACCGUAAAUCUAUACGGAUGCCCUUCGACUGCUCACCAAAGUUCUUUUUGUCCCGGCCAGUAGGUCUUUAGACGUUACAGAGAACCCCAAACAACCCAAACUAUUAAUCUUCAAUACCCCUUUGUACUUACGAUCUUGUAUCCACUGACUGUCCUGUUAGAUUAACCCAAUAAAUUUCAUUCACUCCGCAUACUCAAUCCUAUAGACACCCCUUUAAUCCUUCAAUCACAGACGUAACUCGAUUUUACAAAAUAAUCAAGAGUAUUCAAACCCACUUCAUUAAAAAAUCCCGAUUCACCAUUACAACACUGACUUCAGCAACGAUUGCCUCAGUCUUCCCAAAACCCUAUGAAGAAAAAAAAUCCAAUUCUCCGUCUUUUCUUCCCCGACCUGAAGCAUGAAGCUCCUCUCCAAUCUCCUUGAUCUUCAAAAAAACCUCUAAUGAAAACCAAACUAAUAACCUUCAAAAAAAGCUUGAAGCUAGCUCUUCCAUCCAAAAAGAAACCCCCCCAAAAAACUUAUUCUCUCCCUAACCUUAUCCUCUGAAUUUCUUCAAUCUUUCGUCUUGGAUCCAGAAUUGGCUCCCACCGUCAGAGCUUAGAUCCAAAAUUGGCUCCCGUCGUCAGAGCUUUUCUCCUCCGUUUUAAUCUUUAAGAGAUCCAUUUAUCGAAAACAACGUUCUCUGAAACGGCACAGAGAAUAGGACAGCCUAAAACAGAAUCGAAACCCCGUACUCAGGUCCACAUUGAGUCGCCCGACCAAUUCAAGUCUCAUAUUGAGUAAGAUGCUUGUAGUAACCUGGAUGUUCGCGUAAUUGGGUCCAAUUGGUCCUCACGUCAGAUUGGCUAAGGUCCGUAGUAAGACCUGGAUUUUCCCGUAAUUAGACUGCAUUGGGUUGCCCGGCCAAUUUAGGUCUCAUAUUGGGUAAGAUGCCCGUAGUAAGACCUGGAUUUUCCCAUAAUUGGAUCAAAUUAGUCCUUCGCGUCAGACUGGCUGAGGCCCGUAGUGUCAAGGACAAGAACUCGAUGAAAGCUAAAGAGUAAGUGAGACUUUUCUCAAAGAAAUAGGACAAAAUAGAAAUAUGUAUAUUAAGAAAGAAAUUAGAAUGGCUAUUGCCAAAAUACAAGAAAACUAAAGACCCUUGAAACUAGACUAGAAGCAAGAAAUGAGUUGACAAGAGUGAAGAGGGCUUCACUCUUGCCUCUAUAUAUACUAUCUAACUAGAAGCCACGUGGCGAUGUUCUAUAAGACCUCCAAUAUAUGUUGACUUUCUAGGCCACAUGCCUUUGCUUGCAAGGCAAGUUUUCUAUGGAUGGACCACGUAGUUAGCUUGUUCUUUAAGCUUCCAACAUGCGUGGCACAUGGCUAACUUGCUGACCAAGUUUCUAAUCUAAAAGUCAACUAUAGACUCCUAUAAAGUCAAAGCAGUGUCUAUGAAGCUU